AUCUAGCCGACGAGUCCCAAAUACGACGAAAUGCGCAUCCUGGAU
RNAcentral lists this non-coding RNA (45 nucleotides) under Trichobilharzia regenti. Lineage: Eukaryota; Metazoa; Platyhelminthes; Trematoda; Strigeidida; Schistosomatidae. The record is from RNAcentral.